Molecule: long non-coding RNA, 517 nt
Organism: Vigna unguiculata (cowpea)
Lineage: Eukaryota; Viridiplantae; Streptophyta; Magnoliopsida; Fabales; Fabaceae
Source: RefSeq, a predicted model, not a curated record
AUGAAACUGUCAAUCACUCAAAAAUCAACAGAAGAAAUUUGAAGAUGAAGUGCACAAGAUGUGAUCAAUUUGGGCACAACAUAAGAGGAUGCAAAAGUCAACCAAAAAAAACCAUAGGGGUGAAAACCAGGAUCAGGAAGCAAUCUUCAAAGAGAAAGGGACCUGCAGGUACAAGAAUUGCUCCGCCCAUGGAAACUAGCAACAACAGCUCCACCAACAACACUCCAGGAGCAGGGACGAGAGGAAUGGCACCUACUUUAGGUUCUCAACACUCCAACAACCCCACUGCCUAGAGCAUGUGAAUGUGUAAAGACUUUGUAUUGUAAUGUGAAGUGGACCACACUUUUGUAAUAUGGAGUGGUCCACACUAUUAUUGGGUGAAGUGUUCUGGAAUUGUGGUCCACCGCUUUUAAAUAUUUUGGCCCAACUUUUGUAAUAUUUUUUGCUUUUAAAUAUUGUGGUACAACUUUUGAUACAAUACUGUAUGCCACCACUUUCAACAGCUUUUAUUACUUUA